GGGGAUUUAGCUCAGUGGCAUAAGCACCUGCCUUGCAAGCAGGAGGUCGUUAGUUCGAUCCCUG
Molecule: transfer RNA, 64 nt
Filed under: Cavia porcellus (domestic guinea pig)
Lineage: Eukaryota; Metazoa; Chordata; Mammalia; Rodentia; Caviidae
Rfam family: tRNA
About the family: Transfer RNA (tRNA) molecules are approximately 80 nucleotides in length.
Source: Rfam by way of RNAcentral